AUAUCCCAUGUAGAGUAUUGGCGUACCAAGCUAAUAAUAAAACUCUCUUUAUUACACACAAAAUAACUCUCAUUCACAUACACCCAUAAUACUACAAACCUCACACACUCACUUCACUACUUCACUACACCUCACAACACUUCCUCACCUCACACCACCACUCACACCCUUACUUCACUAUAUCUCACGGCUCACUCUCACUACACUUCCACCCUCUCACUCUUUCACACCACCUCACACUCACACUUGGUGUGGAGGCCUCACACCUAUUUAUAGGCCUCCAACCUACCUACAUAAGCACUCUAGAAUAUUUUAGAGUACUUGCUUUUAGAACUCACUAAAGUGCUCUAUUAGUAAGUAGAGAGCACUUGUUUCUAGAGUGUUCUAUAAAGAGAGAGAAUACUUAUUUCUAGAGCACUUUGUUCCUAGAGUUUUCUAGAAUGCUCAAUUAGCUAGUAGAGAAUUGGAAAGGGAUAGAGCAUUCUAGAAUGUUCUAUUAAAGAGAGAGGGAGAGUUGCCUCUUUCAAUACUCCCCCUCAACUCUAACUCUCUCUUAAUGUUGCUCUGCUGAGCAUUCCUAAUUGCUUCCGGAACUCUUCUUUGCGGUGCUUAGUCCUUUGGUGAAUAUGUUGGCUAUUUUCUCUUCUGUUUUGAUUCUGCUUCAGCACCUGGAUCUCUCCGUCCAUCGUGUUCCUCCACUCCUUGCUUGUAACUUCUUCUUCGUAGGAGGCCGGCUCUUUUGGAGUCUCUUCUUCUUCGGCGAUAGCAACAUUUGCAUACUUAGAAUUAGGUUUUCUUUGCCUAGAGGAUCUUCGUAACUGCAUACCUAUGUCUUCAAGCUGGCUUGGCUGAUAUUCUUCUGGGGUUUGAUAAUGCACGUCAGUUCGCCAAGGUUCUGGAGACUUCUGGAGUUGCUGCUCAUCACUGGUUGACUCUGUAGAAAGUUGACCACUUUCUUCUUGCUCUGACAUCGUCUUCUCUUCUUCUUGUACUUGCUCUCCAAGCUUUUCUUGUAGUUUGAUUUCUAUCUCUUUAGAGUCUGGCAGUAUAACUUCUAGUGAGGACCACCAGGACGACGCUUCAUCGAACACGACAUUUCUCGACGUGUAACAACGACCGGUUGUUGGGUCACAGCAUCUCCACCCUUUUCUUUCACUGUCGUACCCGACGAAGAUACAUCUUAUCGCCUUCUUGUCGAAUUUAUUUCGAAGAUGGUCCGGUACGAACACAUAGCACACGCAUCCAAAGACUCGAAAAUGACUUACUGUGGGUUUGAUUUUCUACAGUACUUGAUAGGGUGAGAUGAAUCCUAAUUUCGGUUGCGGCAGCCGGUUGAUGACAUGUGCUGCUGUUCUCAUACAUUCUGCCCAAAAUCUGCCUGGCACACUCUUUGCAUGCAGCAUGCUUCGGCAAGUUUCUGCUAGAUGUCUAUUCUCUCUCAGCUAUACCAUUUUGUUGCGGAGUGCGUGAACACGUAAGCUGUCUCCUUAUUUUGCACUCUCACGGGUAAGCUGAGAACUCUGCUGAGGUAUAUUCACCUCCAUUAUCCGUGCGCAGGCAUCGUAUUUUAUAACCGGUUUGGCUUUCAACUUUUACUUUAAAUUCUUUAAAUUUUUGCAGCACUUCAGAUUUUUCUUUAAUAAAGUAUACCCAGAUGUACCUUGAGAAGUCAUCAAUGAACGUCACAAUGUAGCGCAUGCCGCUAAUUGAUGUUUGCUUGACUGGUCCAAAAACAUCAGAGUGCACGAGCUCGAGCGGUACCUUGGCUCUUUAUUUGGAUUCAGUGUAGGGAAGUUGAUGAGCCUUACCAAACUGGCAUCCUGCGCAGAUUGUGUCUCCUCGUACUUCAAGUUGAGGUAAGCCAUUCAGCAUACCACGCUCCAUCAUGAUUUUCAGUUUGUGAUAGCCCACAUGUCCCAGUCUUGCAUGCCACAAAUCAGCAAUCUCACUUUUUCGAGUCUUUUCUACGUAUGCUAAUUCUGCAGACAUUACGUAGAUAGACUCUACUUUCUUUCCUUCCAUGAUUUGUAUACCAGAUAUCUUGGGACUACGAAAUACCUUGACAUCUUGUGACCCAAAUACUACAUAAUUGCCCGAUGCAGUUAGUUGUGAUACUGAUAAGAGAUUUUUCUUCAUACCUGGGACAUGGUAGACGUUCUGUAGUUGUACUUGAUGUGGGCUGAAUCUGGAUGUGAUGAUUGUCUUUCCUAUGUGAGUGAUUGGCAACUUCGAGUUGUUAGCUGUCACCACUACUCUUCCUCCUUUAUAUUCUGUUGUGCUGAGCAGCUUGUCUUUAUCACCAGUCAUAUGAUUGGAACAUCCAGAGUCAAUGAUCCAAUCUGUACUGUAAUUCACAGCUCUUGGAUUUUCUAUUGUUGUUAAUGCAUAUAUUGGUACCUGCUUUGGUAGCUUUUCCUUCUUAGCACCUGAUGUUGCCAUAUUGUCUUGUACUUGUUUCUUCUUGUGCCAACAGUCUCGGGCGAAGUGUUCUUUCUUGCCGCAAUUGUAACACUCUCCGCUACGUCGUCUGUCGCCUUUAAACUGCCAAAAAUUUUGCUCCUUCUGGUUGUGGACUCCCCUUGUAAGGUGGCUCUCUCCCGUCCUUUGUUUUAACCCACUGAACUCCUUCGGCAGCUUCAAAUUUCUUGGCCCUCCUGUUGCUCGACCUUUUCUUCUACUGCUGAAGAGUGCCUCCUCUUCAAUUUUCAGUGAGACUUCAGCCAUCUGUUUGGCUAGAGCCUCCUGAUUAGCCAGUAAAUUUUCUAACUCCACCAAUGUUGGUUGAGUGGGCCAGCCUCGAAUAGCAGUAAUGAACCCGUUAUAUUCGGGUUUUAGGCCGUGAAUAAUAAUUCUCUUCAUCCGCUGGUCACUAAUUUUUGACUCUGAAUCUAAUUGGGAAAUUUCACGGCAGAGAGAUUUUACCUUCAUGAAGUACUGGCUAAUCGUCAUGCUGCCCUGAGAUAUCGUCAUCAGCUCAUUCUCCAGAAGUUGAAGUCGAGCAUCAUUUUUCUUUGAAAAUAACGAGGCGAGGGUGUCCCAUACAGCCUUGGGUGUAUCUGCUUCCUGGAUAUGCUCCAGCAGCUCUUCUGCGAUUGUCGUCUUCAGGACGAACAUCGCCUUCCCUGCCUUAAUACGCCACUUUCUGAACACCUCUGCAUUCUCCUUUGGUGGUGGAGUUGUUUCAGCACCACCAAUUACCUCCCACAAAUCCUGCCCUUGUAGGUAAGACUCAAUGCAGGUUUGCCAAUAACCAUAAUUAUGGUUAUUUAGCUUCUUAAUUCCGCUAGUUGUACCAACAAGAUCUGCCAUAGUGACUUGGUGAUUGCCCAGCAGUCAACCAAGUAAGUCUGGUCCCAGACUGACCAACUUCAUAGUCCCAGACUGUGCACCAGCAGAAUCUCUGCUUAUAUCGGUAUUUAACUGCCUGGACUGGCAGAAUAUCACCGACUUAACUAGCAGAAUAUUUCCUACAAUCUGGCUUUGAUACCAAAUUGUAGAGUAUUGGCGUACCAAGGUAAUAAUAAAACUCUUUAUUACACACAAAAUAACUCUCAUUCACAUACACCCAUAAUACUACAAACCUCACACACUCACUUCACUACUUCACUACACCUCACAACACUUCCUCACCUCACACCACCACUCACACCCUUACUUCACUAUAUCUCACUGUUCACUCUCACUACAUUUCCACUCUCUCACUCUUUCACACCACCUCACACUCACACUUGGUGUGGAGGUCUCACACCUAUUUAUAAGCCUCCAACCUACCUACAUAAGCACUCUA
RNAcentral lists this long non-coding RNA (3787 nucleotides) under Ananas comosus (pineapple). RNAcentral describes it as "long non-coding RNA (ACOM_LNC007025)". The record is from RNAcentral. Lineage: Eukaryota; Viridiplantae; Streptophyta; Magnoliopsida; Poales; Bromeliaceae.